Anguilla rostrata (American eel) is the source of this 1581-nucleotide long non-coding RNA. RefSeq lists it as uncharacterized. The record is from RefSeq and is a predicted model, not a curated record. NCBI's taxonomy places the organism in Eukaryota, Metazoa, Chordata, Actinopteri, Anguilliformes, Anguillidae. The transcript has 2 exons.
AAAAUCUUGAAUGAUGGUUUGCUGGGUCCCUGUAUUGUAUGUGGAUAUUUGUAAUCCUGAUCUUUUGCUGAUGCUUUGUGUAGAAAGAGAACCUAGGGUUGGCCUUCCAAACUGGGGAGAGUGUGGGAAUCACAUCCAUGCUGACAGUUGAGGAGAUGCUUAGAACAGAAGGUCCAGACUGGCAGAGGGUUCUGGGAUAUGUGGAGAGCAUCUACCGCCAUUUUGAGAUGUGACUUCGCCCCUCUGUGACUCAGAAUGCCGCACCUGUCGAGGUCUCUACGGUGUACUCCGCGCAGAUUUGCUGUAUGAAUCGGUGCAGAGGCAAUGGCGCCCAUUCGUCAGUGGGGGAGCACUUUUAGAAUUUUUGUCAAGCUCAGGAGCACUACAGUAUCCAAAAUGAGUCCCACACUGCAGACUGCUGGCCUCUGGAAGCAGGUGCAUUCCUUUUUGUACUGUUACUAUUUCAUUAGCAUUAGGAUCUGUUCUCUGGUUUAAAAAAAAAAAAGUUCACAUGAACUGUGAUUUUAUCAGUUUCUCUAUAUGAAGUCUCAUCAUGUUCAGCGAAGAUUCCUUUUGACAUUUGUCAUCUGUGACUGGUUAAUGUCCAGUAUGAAAUGCAGAGCAAGUAAAAGCUCGACUUGCGUGCUCCCAAUUUUUUCUGCGAUAACAGUAUCAAGGAAGUGAACACAAGAUGAUUUGUAAGCAACUAAUUUUUAAAGCAAUGGAAAUGUUACAUUGAAAGGCUGACACUUUUGGAUGGGUAGCAUUGGCAGAUGUUAAGUCAUUAUCUGAUCCAGUUAUCAGCCUCCAAAUGGCUUGGAUUUCUUUCACUUUGAAGGGUGUCUUUUCCUUUUUUUACUUUGUUAAUGCUAUGCACCUACUUGCACUUUGAAAUAUUAAAUGGAGACUGGCCCAAAGUCUGCGAGCAUGUUGCUCCAGCUCUCCGGUUACUGGUUGAAAAUUAAGCGACUGAAUGCCAAAAUGUGAAAACUUUUACUUUAAAAUGCUUAUAUAGCAAUAAGUCUUCCUAUGUUCUGAACACAACAAGCACAAACUAAAACAGUGGAAAUGACACCCAAUGACUAGGUUGUGGGUAAGGGAACUGUCCUAUGCAGGUAUUGGGUGUCAAACUUUUGGAUGCUUUUCAGAAUAUUUUACAUGUAUGCAGAUGUUCAUUCCACCCUGCCUGUCAGUGGCUGCAUUCAUCCCAUAUACCUAGUGUAUACCUACCUACCUAAACAGUCUUAUAUUUUCUAUUUAGAUACUUCAUGAGGUUAGCAUUUUUUAUGUGAAAUUUAGUAAAUAUGUUCAUCCUGUCAGGUUUAAUUAUCAAGAAUCUGAGCAGUGGGAUUUCCAGUCUGUUUGUGCAUUGAAGGACUGAUGUGUGGAUACCCCACGCCAGAUGUGUGCGUGUGCAAGGCAAUAGUUCUACCAAAGGACUCUGAUUGUGGUGUGCAAGGCUGCCAUGGGAACCCUUGGAAAGAGCCUUGCAAUUCAAUGUGAAAAGAAAUGUCUACUGUAUAUAGUAAUAUGUAAUCCUCUGCCAUAGCCUUAUUAUAAUAAUAAAGUAUAUCAAUCUGA